CCUACGGGAGGCAGCAGUGGGGAAUCUUGCACAAUGGAGGAAACUCUGAUGCAGCGAUGCCGCGUGAGUGAAGAAGGCCUUUGGGUUGUAAAGCUCUUUUGUAGGGGAAGAUAAUGACUGUACCCUAAGAAUAAGGUCCGGCUAACUUCGUGCCAGCAGCCGCGGUAAUACGAAGGGACCUAGCGUAGUUCGGAAUUACUGGGCGUAAAGCGCGCGUAGGCCGUUGAGUUAGUUAAUUGUGAAAUCCCAAAGCUUAACUUUGGAACUGCAAUUAAAACUGCUCGACUAGAGUUUGAUAGAGGAAAGCGGAAUACAUAGUGUAGAGGUGAAAUUCGUAGAUAUUAUGUAGAACACCAGUUGCGAAGGCGGCUUUCUGGAUCAACACUGACGCUGAGGCGCGAAAGUAUGGGUAGCAAAGAGGAUUAGAUACCCUCGUAGUCCAUACCAUAAACGAUGAUUGCUAGAUGUUGGAAAUUUAUUUUCAGUAUCGCAGCUAACGCAUUAAGCAAUCCGCCUGGGGAUACGACCGCAAGGUUAAAACUCAAAUGAAUUGACCGG
This 558-nucleotide ribosomal RNA is filed under the name uncultured bacterium. RNAcentral describes it as "bacterial SSU rRNA". It matches the Rfam family "Bacterial small subunit ribosomal RNA", at positions 338 to 917 of the family's 1533-position model. The record is from RNAcentral.